UGGGGAAUAUUGCGCAAUGGGGGAAACCCUGACGCAGCAACGCCGCGUGAAUGAUGAAGGCCUUCGGGUUGUAAAGUUCUGUCUUCUGGGACGAUAAUGACGGUACCAGAGGAGGAAGCCACGGCUAACUACGUGCCAGCAGCCGCGGUAAUACGUAGGUGGCAAGCGUUGUCCGGAUUUACUGGGCGUAAAGGAUGCGUAGGCGGAUAUUUAAGUCAGAUGUGAAAUACCCGAGCUUAACUUGGGUGCUGCAUUUGAAACUGGGUGUCUAGAGUGCAGGAGAGGUAAGUGGAAUUCCUAGUGUAGCGGUGAAAUGCGUAGAGAUUAGGAAGAACACCAGUGGCGAAGGCGACUUACUGGACUGUAACUGACGCUGAGGCAUGAAAGCGUGGGGAGCAAACA
This 402-nucleotide ribosomal RNA is filed under the name uncultured prokaryote. RNAcentral's name for it is "bacterial SSU rRNA". It matches the Rfam family "Bacterial small subunit ribosomal RNA", at positions 355 to 774 of the family's 1533-position model. The record is from RNAcentral.